RNAcentral lists this ribosomal RNA (490 nucleotides) under uncultured bacterium. RNAcentral describes it as "partial 16S ribosomal RNA". It matches the Rfam family "Bacterial small subunit ribosomal RNA", at positions 29 to 523 of the family's 1533-position model. The record is from RNAcentral.
AAUGAACGUUGGCGGCAUGGAUUAGGCAUGCAAGUCGAGCGAGAAGGAAAUCAAAGUUUACUUUGGUUUCCGGAAAGCGGCGAAAGGGAGAGUAACGCGUAGUUAUCUACCCCAAGGCUCGGAAUAGCUGCGGGAAACUGCAGGUAAUGCCGGAUAAUAUCCCCGGAUCAAAGGUGUGAUUCCGCCUUGGGAGGAGACUGCGUUGUACUAGCUUGUUGGUAGGGUAAUGGCCUACCAAGGCUACGAUGCAUAGCGGGCGUGAGAGCGUGGCCCGUCUCACUGGGACUGAAACACUGCCCAGACACCUACGGGUGGCUGCAGUCGAGAAUCUUCGGCAAUGGGCGAAAGCCUGACCGGGCGAUGCCGCGUGCGGGAUGAAGGCCCUCGGGUUGUAAACCGCUGUCGUAGGGGAGAAAGGACCGUUGAAGAGACGGUUUUGAUCUAUCCUAGGAGGAAGUCCGGGCUAAGUUCGUGCCAGCAGCCGCAGUAA